Molecule: ribosomal RNA, 400 nt
Filed under: uncultured bacterium
Lineage: Bacteria
Description: bacterial SSU rRNA
Rfam family: Bacterial small subunit ribosomal RNA
Source: RNAcentral
UNGCGGCAUGCCUAACACAUGCAAGUCGAACGGCAACGGGGUCUAGCUUGCUAGAUUGCCGGCGAGUGGCGAACGGGUGAGUAAUGCGCAGGAAUAUGCCUUAAAGAGGGGGACAACUUGGGGAAACUCAAGCUAAUACCGCAUAAGCUCUUAGGAGUAAAGCUGGGGACCGCAAGGCCUGGCGCUUUAAGAAUAGCCUGCGUCCGAUUAGCUAGUUGGUGGGGUAAGGGCCUACCAAGGCGACGAUCGGUAGCUGGUCUGAGAGGAUGGCCAGCCACACUGGGACUGAGACACGGCCCAGACUCCUACGGGAGGCAGCAGUGGGGAAUAUUGGACAAUGGGGGGAACCCUGAUCCAGCAAUGCCGCGUGUGUGAAGAAGGCCUCAGGGUUGUAAAGCAC